GGAAAAGAAACCAACAGGGAUUGCCUCAGUAACGGCGAGUGAAGCGGCAACAGCUCAAAUUUGAAAUCUGGCCGCAAGGUCCGAGUUGUAAUUUUGCAGAGGAUGCUUUUGGCGAGGUGCCUUCCGAGUUCCCUGGAACGGGACGCCAUAGAGGGUGAGAGCCCCGUACGGUAGGACCACCGAGCCUCUGUAAAGCUCCUUCGACGAGUCGAGUAGUUUGGGAAUGCUGCUCUAAAUGGGAGGUGUACGUCUUCUAAAGCUAAAUACCGGCCAGAGACCGAUAGCGCACAAGUAGAGUGAUCGAAAGAUGAAAAGCACUUUGAAAAGAGGGUUAAAAAGUACGUGAAAUUGUUGAAAGGGAAGCAUUCAUGACCAGACUUGGGCUUGGUUGAACAUCCGGCGUUCUCGCCGGUGCACUCUGCCAGUCCAGGCCAGCAUCAGUUUGCCCCGGGGGAUAAAGGCGGUGGGAAUGUGGCACCCUCCGGGGUGUGUUAUAGCCCGCCGUGUAAUGCCCUGGGGUGGACUGAGGAACGCGCUUCGGCACGGAUGCUGGCGUAAUGGUCAUCAAUGA
Molecule: ribosomal RNA, 571 nt
Filed under: Sarocladium spinificis
Lineage: Eukaryota; Fungi; Ascomycota; Sordariomycetes; Hypocreales; Sarocladiaceae
Description: eukaryotic LSU rRNA
Rfam family: Eukaryotic large subunit ribosomal RNA
Source: RNAcentral